This is a ribosomal RNA of 781 nucleotides. The stretch from base 306 to 781 matches the Rfam family "Eukaryotic large subunit ribosomal RNA", at positions 665 to 926 of the family's 3401-position model.
GGGGACGUAACAAAGCGACCCAGGAAUGCUUGGGCGUGCCUCCACCCACGCCGGCGUCGGCGGGCGUAUUUCGCCUCACAGUAGGUCGCCGCGACCCGUUGCUUUUGGGGACGUCGAAGGCCCGGACGGAUUGGUACCCUACCGGCUGGGGAUGCGGCUUCGGCUUCUCCUCUUGUCCGGUGGGCGAAACCGCCGGUGUCCUGGCUGCCCUGCGACGGUCGUAGAGACGAGCCCUCCCCUUCGGGGGGGCGGCUCUCGCGGCGUGCAAAAGGUCGGUGAUCCACCCGACCCGUCUUGAAACACGGACCAAGGAGUCUAACAUGUGUGCGAGUCAGUGGGCGCACUAAACCCAGAGGCGUAAUGAAAGUGACACGGGUUCGGUUGUCGCCUCGUGCGGCAGCCGGACUCAGGGCCGAUCCCUCACCGGUUGCCCUCGCCUCUCUCCCGCGUCUCGGUAAGCCGGGUGAGCUAUUUUCCCCGGCCGCUGCUGCGGGGCUCGGGGGUAGGCGGGGUGCGAUGGUGUCCGUAAAAAAGAGCCUGCUGUUGCAGGGGGGCGCAGGCCCGGGACUUGCCAGGACGCCGCGAGACUGUCACUUUGCUGUGAGGCUCUCGGGCCGAUCAGCGGGUCAUGCGUGCAGUCGGCAAGUACCAUGAGCAGACAUGUUGGGACCCGAAAGAUGGUGAACUAUGCCUGGCCAGGAUGAAGCCAGAGGAAACUCUGGUGGAGGUCCGUAGCGAUUCUGACGUGCAAAUCGAUCGUCGGAGCUGGGUAUAGGGGCGA